Non-coding RNA from Paramuricea clavata, 459 nucleotides. The record is from the annotation of a GenBank genome assembly. NCBI's taxonomy places the organism in Eukaryota, Metazoa, Cnidaria, Anthozoa, Malacalcyonacea, Plexauridae.
CUUGAGGCCUCUUAUUGAAGACAUCUAAUGUACUCUUUACAUCACUCUCCAAUGACUUGCGGUAAUCAUUGUGUUCCUUAUUGUAUCUUUCUUUCAGCUCUUCAAUUUUGGCAGUUGGGAAAUCUGACUCAGCAAGAUUUCCAAUGGCUUCAAGAGAUGCGGUGCUCAGAUUAAGGGCAAUUAAUGCCUCUUUAGCAUGUUUAACGUAGUCAUCAAAUGUGGCUUUAUCAAUAGCCAGGCUGUGCGAAUGACAGAGAGUAUUUCUCAAAAGGCGAAGCUGAUCAAUUCCCAAAGUUAGUGUUUCAUUUGGAUCUCCACUGGAACUGAUCACUGUGGAAUGGAAUGGACCUGGGACAGGCUUUCGGUUCUUCAAGUACAACUCACCAAGAGUUUUCAUGUUGCCCUUACUAUCAGGUAAAGCAAAAGUUUUUGCAUACAAGGUUGCUUGGAAUAACGCUG